This 260-nucleotide ribosomal RNA is filed under the name uncultured bacterium. Its description in RNAcentral is "partial 16S ribosomal RNA". It matches the Rfam family "Bacterial small subunit ribosomal RNA", at positions 94 to 354 of the family's 1533-position model. The record is from RNAcentral.
AGCGGCGGACGGGUGAGUAACGCGUGGGCAACCUGCCUUACACAGGGGGAUAACAGUUAGAAAUGACUGCUAAUACCGCAUAAGACCGCAGUACCGCAUGGUACAGCGGUAAAAACUCCGGUGGUGUAAGAUGGGCCCGCGUCUGAUUAGGUAGUUGGCGGGGUAACGGCCCACCAAGCCGACGAUCAGUAGCCGACCUGAGAGGGUGACCGGCCACAUUGGGACUGAGACACGGCCCAGACUCCUACGGGAGGCAGCAG